Brassica rapa (field mustard) is the source of this 972-nucleotide RNA transcript. It is a transcript of the gene named pre-mRNA-splicing factor SPF27 homolog, with no coding region annotated. The record is from RefSeq and is a predicted model, not a curated record. Lineage: Eukaryota; Viridiplantae; Streptophyta; Magnoliopsida; Brassicales; Brassicaceae.
AUGGCGACGAACAAUGGAGACGUCUUGAUGCUAGAGGCAGCGCCGGAAGCUUCAAAGCCGUGGGCGAGCGCGGCGAACGCAGAAGUCAUCGACGCGCUUCCUUAUAUCGACGACGACUAUGGCAAUCCACUGAUUAAGGCGGAGGUCGACCGCUUGGUGGAGGAAGAGAUGCGUCGGAGCUCAAGGAAGCCUGCUGACUUUCUCAAGGAGUUGCCUCCUCUUCCCAAGUUCGAUUUCGAGAACUGCCCCGUUCUUGGCAAAGAGUAUGAGCGUGUUCGAGCUGGGAAGCCUCCAGUGCGGAUAGAUUUUGAGUCCCGGUACAAGGUUGAACUGCCGCCUGCGAGUAAGAAAAACGAUGAUGCUGCCUGGAAGCAGUAUCUUCAGAAGAAUCAACGGUCAUUGCAACAGAAGAUGAUCGAGCUUGAGAAUUUGGAAAUGAUGUCUAAGCAAGGCCCCGAGCUUUGGAGGCAGAACAACCAUCGGCUUGAAGUAUUCUUGACCAGAAUGCAAAAACUAGCUCAGGAGCAGAACGAAGAAAUUGAAAAAGUAAAUCGUGAAAGGAAGUAUCAUCAGCAAACCACUGCGUACGAGCUCAAUGCUCUAUCUCAAGAAUGGAGGCAGCUCUGUGUGAAGAAUAUGGAGAUUCAAUCUGCUUGUGUCGUGCUAGAGACAAAAAUCGAUGCGUUCAAAAAGGAAGCUGCUGAAAGAGGAUGGAACUUAGAAGAGAAACUAGAGAGUGUCAAGCCGCUUCAACCGCAGUGAGGCAACCGGAGCUGGGGUUGUUGGCCCCCGCUCUUUGCUUGCGUUUACUGAUAUGUUUAAGCAUAUCGUUUACGAUUUGUUAGUGAAAAUGAUGUUUGAAUGUUUGUUUAACAUAUAUUUUUCUUUAUAGUAUAAGAUUAUGAUUUGAUAAGAAACAUUUUUAGGUUAAUGAGUGUUUCUGUUUAUGCAAUGCCAUCAGUUUACAAAUUA